Molecule: unclassified non-coding RNA, 564 nt
Filed under: Fusarium sp. 0609ALT61E4-Ext
Lineage: Eukaryota; Fungi; Ascomycota; Sordariomycetes; Hypocreales; Nectriaceae
Description: sequence contains ITS1, 5.8S rRNA gene and ITS2
Rfam family: 5.8S ribosomal RNA (bases 184-337)
Source: RNAcentral
CUCCGUAGGGGGAACCUGCGGAGGGAUCAUUACCGAGUUUACAACUCCCAAACCCCUGUGAACAUACCUUAAUGUUGCCUCGGCGGAUCAGCCCGCGCCCCGUAAAACGGGACGGCCCGCCAGAGGACCCAAACUCUAAUGUUUCUUAUUGUAACUUCUGAGUAAAACAAACAAAUAAAUCAAAACUUUCAACAACGGAUCUCUUGGUUCUGGCAUCGAUGAAGAACGCAGCAAAAUGCGAUAAGUAAUGUGAAUUGCAGAAUUCAGUGAAUCAUCGAAUCUUUGAACGCACAUUGCGCCCGCUGGUAUUCCGGCGGGCAUGCCUGUUCGAGCGUCAUUUCAACCCUCAAGCCCUCGGGUUUGGUGUUGGGGAUCGGCUCUGCCUUCUGGCGGUGCCGCCCCCGAAAUACAUUGGCGGUCUCGCUGCAGCCUCCAUUGCGUAGUAGCUAACACCUCGCAACUGGAACGCGGCGCGGCCAUGCCGUAAAACCCCAACUUCUGAAUGUUGACCUCGGAUUCAGGUAGGAAUACCCGCUGAACUUAAGCAUAUCAAUAAGCGGAGGA